AAAGACUUGACGGUACUUCACACCAACCUAGAGGAGCCUGUCUAAUAACCGAUACUCCACGAUUAACCCCACCCACCCUAGCCUCAACAGUCUAUAUACCGCCGUCGCCAGCUUACCUUGUGAAAGAAAUAAAGUGAGCAAAACAGACCACCCCUAACACGACAGGUCGAGGUGUAACUCAUGAGUGGGUAAAAGAUGGGCUACACUUUCUUAACCAGAAAACACGAAUAAACUAUGAAACUAGAAACUGAAGGCGGAUUUAGCAGUACGAUAAGAACAGAAUACUUA
This 288-nucleotide ribosomal RNA is filed under the name Arrhyton taeniatum. RNAcentral describes it as "partial 12S ribosomal RNA". Lineage: Eukaryota; Metazoa; Chordata; Lepidosauria; Squamata; Dipsadidae. The record is from RNAcentral.